Molecule: long non-coding RNA, 233 nt
Filed under: Nicotiana benthamiana
Lineage: Eukaryota; Viridiplantae; Streptophyta; Magnoliopsida; Solanales; Solanaceae
Description: long non-coding RNA (NBEN_LNC027212)
Source: RNAcentral
AACCCUGAUAGUUUCCUCUUAAAGGUUGAUGAAAAUGGUCGUUUUAUCAGCAAUAAUUCUCUUGAAAGUAAGUGCAAUUACCAUGCUUAUGCAUCUAUCACUUUCCAUGAGUCAUUGCAAUCUUUAGAAUAAUCUUCUUGCCAAAAAAAUUCCAACUUUAGAUUUAGUUAUAGAACCCGUUUAUCACUAUGAUUACAGAAUAUGCUUGCCUCCUUGGAGAAUAAACAACGAGC